GGAAGAGAAGAGAACCACGAGUUGAGAGAAUCGGGGUGAGUCGAGUCGGAAGAGUCUGGGGAAAACGGUGCCGUUUUGAUGAGGAAACGAUCAGAUGGAGACCGAGGGAGAGAGGGUGGGAGAUGGGUUUGGGGUCUGAGUAUGAUUUGAAAGGUGGUAAAGGAUGAAGGAGGAAUAAGCCCAGUCGGUGGGUUAACCAGGAACUUGUGAGGCGAUGACGUUUGCACCUUGAAGGCUAUUUGGGUGGUGGCAGAGAGAGACCUGAGGCGGACGUUGGCUCGGCAUUUGGAAUUGAGCAUAAAGUCUAGACGAACCUCUGAGUCUGAUACUUCGACAAGCGGCCUCUC
This 347-nucleotide unclassified non-coding RNA is filed under the name Hevea brasiliensis (rubber tree). Lineage: Eukaryota; Viridiplantae; Streptophyta; Magnoliopsida; Malpighiales; Euphorbiaceae. The record is from RNAcentral.